Molecule: transfer RNA, 119 nt
Filed under: Annulohypoxylon moriforme
Lineage: Eukaryota; Fungi; Ascomycota; Sordariomycetes; Xylariales; Hypoxylaceae
Also listed under: 1 other name
Description: tRNA-Leu
Rfam family: tRNA
About the family: Transfer RNA (tRNA) molecules are approximately 80 nucleotides in length. Their secondary structure includes four short double-helical elements and three loops (D, anti-codon, and T loops).
Source: RNAcentral
GGGAGUUUGGCCGAGUGGUUAAGGCGUUGUGUUUAGGAUUUCCAUUCGUUCUUCACGAAGUCCAUGGAACAUUUGACCCGCAAUGGGAAACCGCGCAGGUUCGAAUCCUGCAGCUCUCA